This 753-nucleotide ribosomal RNA is filed under the name uncultured Comamonadaceae bacterium. RNAcentral's name for it is "bacterial SSU rRNA". It matches the Rfam family "Bacterial small subunit ribosomal RNA", at positions 28 to 776 of the family's 1533-position model. The record is from RNAcentral. Lineage: Bacteria; Pseudomonadati; Pseudomonadota; Betaproteobacteria; Burkholderiales; Comamonadaceae.
AUUGAACGCUGGCGGCAUGCCUUACACAUGCAAGUCGAACGGCAGCACGGGAGCAAUCCUGGUGGCGAGUGGCGAACGGGUGAGUAAUACAUCGGAACGUGCCCAAUCGUGGGGGAUAACGCAGCGAAAGCUGUGCUAAUACCGCAUACGAUCUACGGAUGAAAGCAGGGGAUCGCAAGACCUUGCGCGAAUGGAGCGGCCGAUGGCAGAUUAGGUAGUUGGUGAGGUAAAGGCUCACCAAGCCGUCGAUCUGUAGCUGGUCUGAGAGGACGACCAGCCACACUGGGACUGAGACACGGCCCAGACUCCUACGGGAGGCAGCAGUGGGGAAUUUUGGACAAUGGGCGAAAGCCUGAUCCAGCCAUGCCGCGUGCAGGAUGAAGGCCUUCGGGUUGUAAACUGCUUUUGUACGGAACGAAACGGCCUUUUCUAAUAAAGAGGGCUAAUGACGGUACCGUAAGAAUAAGCACCGGCUAACUACGUGCCAGCAGCCGCGGUAAUACGUAGGGUGCAAGCGUUAAUCGGAAUUACUGGGCGUAAAGCGUGCGCAGGCGGUUAUGUAAGACAGUUGUGAAAUCCCCGGGCUCAACCUGGGAGCUGCAUCUGUGACUGCAUAGCUAGAGUACGGUAGAGGGGGAUGGAAUUCCGCGUGUAGCAGUGAAAUGCGUAGAUAUGCGGAGGAACACCGAUGGCGAAGGCAAUCCCCUGGACCUGUACUGACGCUCAUGCACGAAAGCGUGGGGAGCAAACAGG